This 402-nucleotide ribosomal RNA is filed under the name bacterium. Its description in RNAcentral is "partial 16S ribosomal RNA". It matches the Rfam family "Bacterial small subunit ribosomal RNA", at positions 355 to 776 of the family's 1533-position model. The record is from RNAcentral.
UGGGGAAUUUUGCACAAUGGGGGAAACCCUGAUGCAGCGACGCCGCGUGAUUUAGAAGGCCUUCGGGUUGUAAAAAUCUUUUCUAUGGGAAUAAAAUGACAGUACCAUAGGAAUAAGGACCGGCUAAUUACGUGCCAGCAGCCGCGGUAAUACGUAAGGUCCGAGCGUUGUCCGGAAUCAUUGGGCGUAAAGGGUACGUAGGCGGGUAAGCAAGUUAGAAGUGAAAUCCUAUAGCUCAACUAUAGUAAGCUUUUAAAACUGCUCAUCUUGAGGUAUGGAAGGGAAAGUGGAAUUCCUAGUGUAGCGGUGAAAUGCGCAGAUAUUAGGAAGAAUACCGGUGGCGAAGGCGACUUUCUGGCCAUAACCUGACGCUGAGGUACGAAAGCGUGGGUAGCAAACAGG